CUGGUUCCGUGCUUAAAGAAACAAGUCGAACGGUGAAGCCCUUCGGGGUGGAUCAGUGGCGUACCGGUGAGUAACACGUGAGCAACCUGCCCCUGACUCUGGGAUAACUACCGGAAACGGUGGCUAAUACCGGAUAUGACAUGCCCGGGCAUCUGGGUGUGUGGAAAGUUUUUCGGUUGGGGAUGGGCUCGCGGCCUAUCAGCUUGUUGGUGGGGUGAUGGCCUACCAAGGCGACGACGGGUAGCCGGCCUGAGAGGGCGACCGGCCACACUGGGACUGAGACACGGCCCAGACUCCUACGGGAGGCAGCAGUGGG
RNAcentral lists this small RNA (316 nucleotides) under uncultured bacterium. Its description in RNAcentral is "bacterial SSU rRNA". It matches the Rfam family "Bacterial small subunit ribosomal RNA", at positions 36 to 359 of the family's 1533-position model. The record is from RNAcentral.